UGCAUCUGAUACUGGCAAGCUUGAGUCUCGUAGAGGGGGGUAGAAUUCCAGGUGUAGCGGUGAAAUGCGUAGAGAUCUGGAGGAAUACCGGUGGCGAAGGCGGCCCCCUGGACGAGACUGACGCUCAGGUGCGAAAGCGUGGGGAGCAAACAGGAUUAGAUACCCUGGUAGUCCACGCCGUAAACGAUGUCGACUUGGAGGUUGUGCCCUUGAGGCGUGGCUUCCGGAGCUAACGCGUUAAGUCGACCGCCUGGGGAGUACGGCCGCAAGGUUAAAACUCAAAUGAAUUGACGGGGGCCCGCACAAGCGGUGGAGCAUGUGGUUUAAUUCGAUGCAACGCGAAGAACCUUACCUGGUCUUGACAUCCACGGAAGUUUUCAGAGAUGAGAAUGUGCCUUCGGGAACCGUGAGACAGGUGCUGCAUGGCUGUCGUCAGCUCGUGUUGUGAAAUGUUGGGUUAAGUCCCGCAACGAGCGCAACCCUUAUCCUUUGUUGCCAGCGGUCCGGCCGGGAACUCAAAGGAGACUGCCAGUGAUAAACUGGAGGAAGGUGGGGAUGUCGUCAAGUCAUCAUGGCCCUUACGACCAGGGCUACACACGUGCUACAAUGGCGCAUACAAAGAGAAGCGACCUCGCGAGAGCAAGCGGACCUCAUAAAGUGCGUCGUAGUCCGGAUUGGAGUCUGCAACUCGACUCCAUGAAGUCGGAAUCGCUAGUAAUCGUGGAUCAGAAUGCCACGGUGAAUACGUUCCCGGGCCUUGUACACACCGCCCGUCACACCAUGGGAGUGGGUUGCAAAAGAAGUAGGUAGCUUAACCUUCGGGAGGGCGCUUACCACUUUGUGAUUCAUGACUUGGGUGAAGUCGUAACAAGGUAACCA
This 879-nucleotide ribosomal RNA is filed under the name uncultured Shigella sp. RNAcentral's name for it is "bacterial SSU rRNA". It matches the Rfam family "Bacterial small subunit ribosomal RNA", at positions 622 to 1502 of the family's 1533-position model. Lineage: Bacteria; Pseudomonadati; Pseudomonadota; Gammaproteobacteria; Enterobacterales; Enterobacteriaceae. The record is from RNAcentral.